This 362-nucleotide unclassified non-coding RNA is filed under the name Hevea brasiliensis (rubber tree). The record is from RNAcentral. Lineage: Eukaryota; Viridiplantae; Streptophyta; Magnoliopsida; Malpighiales; Euphorbiaceae.
ACAUAUCUACAUCCUGCAUUUUCUGUAAGGAAAACAAAAUAUGAAUAAAACCAAAAUGUAAAGCAAACCAUAUUUCUUUUUUCUUGUUUUAAUUAUCAAUCUGCUGGAAAUGUUAUGCUGAUGAGACUGAUAUACUAACAAGUUAUUGAAUUCUAAAACAUCUUGUUACAAUAAGUUCUCUGAACAUAUGGAUGAUGUAAUGACUGUUCAGUGGAUCAAUUAUCAGUUCUGUAUCCAUCAAUGUGGAAACAACACUUGGUGCUGCCAGAAAAGAGAGUUUGUCAUUUUUAUUUUCUUCAAGUUUUAAAAAUUUGAAAAAGAUGAAAGCAUAAGCGUACCUUUAACCUUUUUAACAUCUCCUU